CUGCUACUUGCGGCACAAAAACAAGAUCGUGUGAUCGUGUGUUCCAACGAGUUCGCGUGAGUUUGUGUGUUUCAGGUUCUUGAGCUCGCCGGCGACGCGGUCCCGUCGUUACUCUGGCGAUCUCUGCAAAUAAGAUGCACUGGUAGUAAAUUUUAGAGUUUGUGAACGAGCAACCUUCAAUAUCCCAUCGGAGUGGCCAGAGAAGUGUAGUUCUUGAGGUAAACGAUCGAUGACACUUCACCAUUCGAGCUGCAACCUGCCUCUGGUUGAUCUCCUUGUGAUUCCACGUCCUGCCUCCUGCGAUGGUUGGAGUGCUCUUUCAGUAGUCUGAAGAUUGUGCAGAAGAAAAUGGGAAUCGCAAUUGACGGGAAGCUGAGCAUAAUUGCUAGCACAUGAGCCUUCUUUCCUGCAUUCCUCUUACCCCAGCUAUAAUGCUAUGCACGACGGCCGUCCCCAGAUGGCCAGAUGUAUAUGCUAC
This 478-nucleotide long non-coding RNA is filed under the name Setaria viridis. RNAcentral's name for it is "long non-coding RNA (SVIR_LNC006083)". The record is from RNAcentral. Lineage: Eukaryota; Viridiplantae; Streptophyta; Magnoliopsida; Poales; Poaceae.